RNAcentral lists this long non-coding RNA (935 nucleotides) under Cyanistes caeruleus (blue tit). Its description in RNAcentral is "lncRNA (ENSCCEG00000018399.1)". Lineage: Eukaryota; Metazoa; Chordata; Aves; Passeriformes; Paridae. The record is from RNAcentral.
GGACCUAGAGGGUCAAGAGGUACAACGGGCCCAUCUGGAUACCCAGGCCAUCCAGGCUUGCCUGUAAGAUCACCACAGUUAUACAGCCUUGCCAUAGGAUAUGUGUUCAUUCUUGUCUACCUGUUUUAGAACUUGCCUUAAUAUGAAUCAAAGUCUAAAAGUAGUUUUUGAGGCAGGUGAUAAGUUAGACUUUUGCUUUACCUUACGAGUUUGGAAGCUGAGGAAUAUGUUGUUCCUUGCCAUGUCUGCAUGAACAUGCUUCAUCCUGGUCAUCUGUGGUGAUGGAGAAAUGCUCCUAGUGCUCUCUCCUUAAUCCCUUUUCCCGAGACCACCUGUGGGAUACAAGGGAGGGGGAAACCAUAGGUCAGCCCUCCUAAAAGCAGUGACCAAGUGAAGUAAAUUGCACUUUGGAAUAAGUGCACCCCAAGAGAAAAUUCUGUCUCUAGGUUCUGUAAGCAAGAGGAAAUAAUUUUCAAAAGCUGUCUCUAAAUCAGACAUAUUAACUUGUCUUCAUUCUCUUUUAAAGGGUAUUCCAGGUUACCCUGGUUUACCAGGUGAACAGGUAGGUAAUAACUUCUGAAGCUUUUAGUGAAAUAAUAAUUUAUACAACUGUUUGAAAUGUUCCUUUUGUUCAUUUGUUACCAAGUUUUUCAAAAGAGUUACUUGAUUAAAUGCUAAUGUUAGUAUUUUCUGAUCAUGCUGAAACUGUGUACAUUCUUUAUCAAUUAGGGAAAUCCAGGGAUUGGAGUGGAUGGACAAAAGGGGGAGCCGGGCGACAUCGGACUGCCUGGGCCGCCUGGGUUACCGCUGUUAGUUGGACCUCCUGGAGCUCAGCUGUUCAAAGGACAAAAGGGCCAAAAAGGAUUACCUGGGGUAACAGGAGACAGAGGGCCACGUGGACCCAAAGGCAUACUUGGGAGAGGAGAAAAGGGUGA